This 789-nucleotide ribosomal RNA is filed under the name Oscillatoria sp. BTA 170. RNAcentral's name for it is "bacterial SSU rRNA". It matches the Rfam family "Bacterial small subunit ribosomal RNA", at positions 661 to 1449 of the family's 1533-position model. Lineage: Bacteria; Bacillati; Cyanobacteriota; Cyanophyceae; Oscillatoriales; Oscillatoriaceae. The record is from RNAcentral.
AGGGAAUUCCUGGUGUAGCGGUGAAAUGCGUAGAGAUCAGGAAGAACACCGGUGGCGAAAGCGCUUUGUUUGGGCCUUAUCUGACACUGAGGGACGAAAGCUAGGGGAGCGAAUGGGAUUAGAUACCCCAGUAGUCCUAGCCGUAAACGAUGGAUACUAGGUGUGGCCUGUAUCGACCCGGGCCGUGCCGGAGCUAACGCGUUAAGUAUCCCGCCUGGGGAGUACGCACGCAAGUGUGAAACUCAAAGGAAUYGACGGGGGCCCGCACAAGCGGUGGAGUAUGUGGUUUAAUUCGAUGCAACGCGAAGAACCUUACCAGGGCUUGACAUGUCCAGAAUUUCGGUGAAAGCUGAAAGUGCCUACGGGAACUGGAACACAGGUGGUGCAUGGCUGUCGUCAGCUCGUGUCGUGAGRUGUUGGGUUAAGUCCCGCAACGAGCGCAACCCUCGUCCUCAGUUGCCAUCAUUAAGUUGGGAACUCUGGGGAGACUGCCGGUGACAAACCGGAGGAAGGUGGGGAUGACGUCAAGUCAGCAUGCCCCUUACGUCCUGGGCGACACACGUACUACAAUGGUCGGGACAGAGGGUAGCCAAACUGCAAAGUCGAGCCAAUCCCAUAAACCCGGCCCCAGUUCAGAUCGCUCUCUGCAACUCGAGAGCGUGAAGGAGGAAUCGCUAGUAAUCGCCGGUCAGCAUUCGGCGGUGAAUCCGUUCCCGGGCCUUGUACACACCGCCCGUCUCCCAUGGGAGCUGGCGGUGCCCGAAGUCGUUACUCUAACCCGCAAGGAGG